ACAGAAGAGCUUGCUCUUUGGGUGGCGAGUGGCGGACGGGUGAGUAAUGUCUGGGAAACUGCCCGAUGGUGGGGGAUAACUACUGGAAACGGUAGCUAAUACCGCAUAACGUCGCGAGACCAAAGUGGGGGACCUUCGGGCCUCACACCAUCGGAUGUGCCCAGAUGGGAUUAGCUAGUAGGUGGGGUAAUGGCUCACCUAGGCGACGAUCCCUAGCUGGUCUGAGAGGAUGACCAGCCACACUGGAACUGAGACACGGUCCAGACUCCUACGGGAGGCAGCAGUGGGGAAUAUUGCACAAUGGGCGCAAGCCUGAUGCAGCCAUGCCGCGUGUAUGAAGAAGGCCUUCGGGUCGUAAAGUACUUUCAGCGGGGAGGAAGGCGGUGAGGUUAAUAACCUUGCCGAUUGACGUUACCCGCAGAAGAAGCACCGGCUAACUCCGUGCCAGCAGCCACGGUAAUACGGAGGGUGCAAGCGUUAAUCGGAAUUACUGGGCGUAAAGCGCACGCAGGCGGUCUGUUAAGUCAGAUGUGAAAUCCCCGGGCUUAACCUGGGAACUGCAUUUGAAACUGGCAGGCUUGAGUCUCGUAGAGGGGGGUAGAAUUCCAGGUGUAGCGGUGAAAUGCGUAGAGAUCUGGAGGAAUACCGGUGGCGAAGGCGGCCCCCUGGACGAAGACUGACGCUCAGGUGCGAAAGCGUGGGGAGCAAACAGGAUUAGAUACCCUGGUAGUCCACGCCGUAAACGAUGUCGACUUGGAGGUUGUGCCCUUGAGGCGUGGCUUCCGGAGCU
RNAcentral lists this ribosomal RNA (790 nucleotides) under uncultured bacterium. RNAcentral's name for it is "SSU rRNA". It matches the Rfam family "Bacterial small subunit ribosomal RNA", at positions 70 to 853 of the family's 1533-position model. The record is from RNAcentral.